RNAcentral lists this ribosomal RNA (253 nucleotides) under uncultured bacterium. Its description in RNAcentral is "partial 16S ribosomal RNA". It matches the Rfam family "Bacterial small subunit ribosomal RNA", at positions 524 to 776 of the family's 1533-position model. The record is from RNAcentral.
GACAGAGGUGCCAAGCGUUAGGCGGAAUCACUGGGCUUAAAGCGUGUGUAGGCGGGUCGUUAAGUACCUUGUGAAAUCCCCCGGCUCAACCGGGGAACGGCUGGGUAUACUGGCGAUCUUGAGCCACCUAGGGGCAGUCGGAACAAGUGGUGGAGCGGUGAAAUGCGUAGAUAUCGGUGGGAACGCCAGUGGCGAAAGCGGCAAACUUGACCCUUCCUGACGCUGAGGCGCGAAAGCUAGGGGAGCAAACGGG